GGAAGAACACCAGUGGCGAAGGCGGCUGUCUGGUCUGUAACUGACGCUGAGGCUCGAAAGCAUGGGUAGCAAACAGGAUUAGAUACCCUGGUAGUCCAUGCCGUAAACGAUGAGUGCUAGGUGUUGGAGGGUUUCCGCCCUUCAGUGCCGCAGCUAACGCAUUAAGCACUCCGCCUGGGGAGUACGACCGCAAGGUUGAAACUCAAAGGAAUUGACGGGGGCCCGCACAAGCGGUGGAGCAUGUGGUUUAAUUCGAAGCAACGCGAAGAACCUUACCAGGUCUUGACAUCCUUUGACCACUCUAGAGAUAGAGCUUUCCCUUCGGGGACAAAGUGACAGGUGGUGCAUGGUUGUCGUCAGCUCGUGUCGUGAGAUGUUGGGUUAAGUCCCGCAACGAGCGCAACCCUUAUUACUAGUUGCCAGCAUUUAGUUGGGCACUCUAGUGAGUUUGCCGGUGACAAACCGGAGGAAGGUGGGGACGACGUCAAAUCAUCAUGCCC
Molecule: ribosomal RNA, 500 nt
Filed under: Lactobacillus sp.
Lineage: Bacteria; Bacillati; Bacillota; Bacilli; Lactobacillales; Lactobacillaceae
Description: bacterial SSU rRNA
Rfam family: Bacterial small subunit ribosomal RNA
Source: RNAcentral